This 485-nucleotide ribosomal RNA is filed under the name uncultured bacterium. Its description in RNAcentral is "bacterial SSU rRNA". It matches the Rfam family "Bacterial small subunit ribosomal RNA", at positions 359 to 836 of the family's 1533-position model. The record is from RNAcentral.
GAUUUUCGCAAUGCCCGAAAGGGUGACAAUGCGACGCCGCGUGCGCGAUGAAGGCCUUCGGGUUGUAAACCGCUGUCGGGAGUUAGGAAAUGCAAGGAUGUUAAUAGCAUCUUUGCUUGACUAAGGCUCCGGAGGAAGCCACGGCUAACUCUGUGCCAGCAGCCGCGGUAAUACAGAGGCGGCAAGCGUCGUUCGGAAUUAUUGGGCGUAAAGAGCACGUAGGCGGCCGUGUAAGUCGGUUGUGAAAGCCUUCCGCUCAACGGGAGAACGGCAUCCGAUACUGCAUGGCUCGAGUGCGGGAGGGGAGAGUGGAACUUCUGGUGGAGCGGUGAAAUGCGUAGAUAUCAGAAGGAACACCGGCGGCGAAGGCGACUCUCUGGCCCGUAACUGACGCUGAGUGUGCGAAAGCUAGGGGAGCAAACGGGAUUAGAUACCCCGGUAGUCCCAGCCGUAAACGAUGGGCACUAAGUAGAGGGGUUUUAAUC